This 6267-nucleotide long non-coding RNA is filed under the name Triticum aestivum (bread wheat). Its description in RNAcentral is "long non-coding RNA (TAES_LNC011004)". The stretch from base 666 to 800 matches the Rfam family "MIR1120/MIR1122 microRNA precursor family". The record is from RNAcentral. Lineage: Eukaryota; Viridiplantae; Streptophyta; Magnoliopsida; Poales; Poaceae.
GCAAUAGCAUCCGCGCCCGUCGCCAUUAAUGGAGCUCUUCCAGAUACAGAAACCCGAGCAUAGCAUGGAUCAAUUCAAAUCCAUUUAUGGUCAAUUACCAGAUGCAUAGAUGUGCAAGAAUGAAUCUCCAGGCGUGGUGCGAGUCUGCUCUGAUCCGUAUGAAUGCAACUCUGCCCUCAUCUUCUUCAUCGUUUUGAUUGAUUGGUUGGUGGUCUGUGUACUUGAGGAGGGAUCUGGACCCCAUCCUGCCCUGACCCUGUCCCUGCGGUAAGUUUUACUACUCCAGUCCAGUAGUAGCAGAGUGGUGAUGAGAUACUAUAUGCCUGCUGUGUUGUUGUAUGUACAUUUGUUGUCUCUUUUAGCCAUUGCUGCGGAUUUACCAUUUCACCAUAGGAGGGGUCAAUCUCUAUUUUUGGUUACAUGACAAAUUAUUAAAAGGGAUUCAUUCAUGCUGAUUACAGGCAGUGUAUUAUUGGGUCUGUCGACUGAAGUAUGGAGCAUGUAUUUGUCAUGUCCAAUCGAUUUUUUUCUUCUGCUAUCAUAGUGUCCUUGAUUUAUACGCCUCAAAUGGUUUUAUUCCUUUAUCAUUUUUCAUUCAUAUUCUCUGUCAUAUGGAAAUCAUAUCUAUCAAUGUUCCUGUGUGCUUACUAGCUAGUUUAUGAUAUAUUGUACUCCCUCCAUCCGGAAAUACUUGUCAUCAAAAUGAAUAAAAGGGGAUGUAUCUAGAUGUAUUUUAGUUCUAGAUACAUCUUUUUUUAUCCAUUUUGAUGACAAGUAUUCUCGGACGGAGGGAGUAUUACCUAUAUCUCUUGAGCAAGAAGGUGGUGCUGCUGAUUGUGAUCUUUUUUUUUUGAGAUGUGCUGAUUGUGAUCUUAGACAAGAACAGACCGGCAUCCGUUCGAUCAUGUGUUGAUGAAUUUGCAGAUUUAAGAGGUAAUAUCACCGGUAGUCAUAGAACUUGCGUUGCAUGUUCAGUUUUGUGCUAAAACUUUGAAAAUACGGUUUUGUGGUCACCUAACUUGACUCAAGCGUGCAGAUACGGUCACAGUACGCGUAUACAGACAUAUCAAUGUGUAUGGCCCCACUCGUCAGUGACGAAUGGCACUAGGCGCGACGUAUUUUACACAGGACACCCUGAAAUUUUUUUAUUUGUGGAAGAAGUGAAGCGCAGCGAUGUAUUUUUAUAGAAAACACCUUAACUUUUUUUAUUUACAGAAAACAGGCCCGCAAUAAGUCAAUACUGCACAUAUAUGCGAACAUUAAAACUUCUUUUAUUUACAGAAAACAGGACCACAAUACUGCACAUAUAUGCGAACAUUAAAACUUCUUUUAUUUACAGAAAACAGGACCACAAUAUUGCACAUAUAUGCGAACAUUAACAACAAAAAUGGCAUGCCAGGACUCGAACAGACGAGCAACUAUUUUUUAACCCGAGAAUGCAAAUGCAAAAAUUUAACACCAAAAAGAAUCUACUAGGACUUGAACCUACAAUCAACUUUUUAAAUCAAUACAAUCUAGACACUACAACCAGUCAGAUCUGGAUGUCAAAAAUGGAUCAGGAACUUAUAUAUAUUAAACGAGGAUGCAUGUGAAGUUUAAAUAGGCUAUGGAGACUGCGGCCCAUUUUAUCUGAGGUAUUUAAAAAUAUAUAUAAACAUGUGUACUAUAUAAAUGUGCGUAUUGCAUAUUUGGUUUUCAAAAAUAUUAUUUUAAUUAUACAAACAUUUCAAUAAUUAUAUAUACGCACAUUUUGUAUAGUUCAAUGUUUGUAUAAUUAAAAAUAUUAAUAAUUUAAAAUUUGAACUGUUAAAAGAAUAUUCAGUCGUGGCUAAUAUGUAAGUUAUAUAACUUUGUUGAAUAUAAGUCAUGAAUAAAAAAUUUACACAAGUGAAUAGUCAUAAAUAUUUAGUAAAUGAUUGUGUUCAUCAUAUUUUAUAAUUUAAAUAUAAGCCUCAAGUGUAUUCUUUUGAAUUUUUUUUAAAAUAUUUAUCUAAUAAAUAUUAUCAGUGUCCAUAUUAACUAAAUAUAAGCCGCAAGUGUAUAUUUAAAUGUUUUUAUCUACUAAUCAUUAUUUGUAUAUAUAAUAUUUUUUAACACACAAAUAUGUGAAUGUACCUUUAUUACUUACAAAUUAUCUUUUAAAAAAUAGUGCGCGCAAAAUGGGCCGUAGUACCCGCAGCUCAAUUAAGCUCCACAUGAGUCCCCGUGAAGUACAUAUAUGUUGAUUAUCCAUAUUAGACAAAAUACAUAUAUGUACAGUAUCAUGGUCCUGUUUUUCUUUAAAAAAUAAUUUGAGGGUGUUUUGUGCAAAAAAAAUAUGUCGCUGUGAUUGAUCGUUUCGGAAAAUGAUUAUUUUUAGAGUGUUCUGUGUAAAAAUACAUCGCCCAGCGCCAUCAGUCACUGACAAGUGGGGCCAUACACAUGUAUACGCCCGCAUAUGCGUAGUGUGACCGUAUCUGCACGCUUGAGUUAAGUUAUGUGACCAGAAAACCGUAUUUUCAAAGUUCUAGCACCAAACUGAACGUGCGGCGCAAGUUCAAUGACUUCCAGUGAUAUUACCUCCAGAUUUAAAUUCUUUCAUGUUGACAUAGGUACAGAACAAGGCAUUAUCUUGGUAUUAUCUGUGCUGAGGCCCUGGCAUUAUCUUGGUCUCUGGUUUAGUUACAGCAUGUCUUGGUCUCUGAAGUUCUGAACAUUGUGAAGGUCAUUUUUAAGCAGAAGAGAGACGAAGAUCGUUCAUUCCUGUCAACAUCAUGCAGCAGGUUGGCCAUUGAAUGUUUCGCGGAUUCAGCGGCGUUCAUUCAUUGUGGAACAAUUAGUAAAUGAUCAAACGGAGAAUGUUCCUCUUGUCAGGGGCUUAGGUAGGCAGAAUGAUUCUGCUCCGACUCUACCCCACUGGACUGGAAGUUGAUUUAUGAAUGGUUGGUAGAGUAGCCUGAACAGACUGUACCACGUGCGCCGCCCGCCCGUAUCAUCUUUGAUACAGUAGUACUCGUCCCGUCCAACCCGUCCGCUUGGGACAAAAUGGACAGACCCCAUGGUCCAGCACGCGACGGCAUGCACCCAUCUUGUCCGUUUUGUGUUUGGUCCGACCCAUUUCGAACGCAGACAUGCACCCGGUUUGGGUCCAGGCGGAUAAUAAACAGACGCGCCGCUCGUCCGCAUCGGUGCCGCGUGGCAGGCGGCCACCUACCUCCCACCGCCCAACAUAAAUGUGCACGCGCGGUCAGCCCCGCCUGUCAUCUGCUCAGGCGUGCGGUAGGCGUCCUUCUUAACUGGGAAGCCGUGGACCGGUCGCAGUCCACGCUCCCGCUCUAGUCUGUGCUGCCUUCUCGAAACCCAACACCCAAACCCUAUUUCUUCCCCUUCCUCGAGCUCGCCGGCCGUCGACAACCAUGGUGUGGUGGAGCACCGGCCGCAAGGGGGCGCACGACCACGAGGCUGGUUCGUCCUCGGACCGCCGCCACCGCGACGUCAAAGCAGAGCCCGCAUCACCCCCACGGAGGGCCCCCGCGCCUCCCCCAUUCACCAUCGCCCCUACGACCACCGGCGAGCGCGACCGGCACUACAUCCACGCGGAUGUUUCCGCUGUUAUUGGGAGACCAGGAUGCCACUCCCCUGGAGCGACGUUCACCAGCCCAAUAAGUGGCACCUGUCCGCGGAUCGGGUGCCGAUCUCGCUGGUCCCGAUGAGCGGCCGUGCCCUCCGCGAGGAGACCGAACGCCGCCACCGCCUGACGACCUCUACUACGACCCCAGGUACGACGUCGACUCCACUCUCUGGGACACAUGGUUUCGGGACGAGCACGACGUGCGGCGCGCGUCCUUCUUUGCUGGUGUGACGCCCCCGAUUCAAUCGUACACUAAUCUUACAUGCAAAUGUGUACGAUCAAGAUUAGGGACUCACCGGAAGAUAUCACAACACAACUCUAGACACAAAUUAAAAUAAUACAAGCUUUAUAUUACAAGACAGGGGCCUCGAGAGCUCGAAUACAAACUAGUCAGCGGAAGCAACAUUAUCUGAGUACAGACAUGAGUUAAACAAGUUUGCCUUAAGAAGGCUAGCACAAAAGCAACAUCGAUUGAAAAGGCAAGGCCUCCUGCCUGGGAGCCUCCUAACUACUCCUGGUCGUCCGCGGCCUCCAUGUAGUAGUAGUCACCCUCGGUGUAGUAGUAGUCGUCGUCGUCGAAGGUGGCGUCUACCUCCUGGGCUCCACCAUCUGGUUGCAGCAUGGAAAGAGGUGGAAAAAGCGGAGCAAAGCAACCGUGAGUACUCAUCCAAAGUACUCGCAAGCAAGAUCUACACUACAUAUGCAUUGGUAUCAAUGAAAUGGGUAGUAUCUGUGGACUGAACUGCAGAAUGCCAGAAGAGAAGGGGAAAGCCUAGCCUAUCGAAGACUAGCAUCUUCAAGCAGCUACAAGCAUCUUGCAGCAAUCAGAAGAGUAUAGAAUAGCAGUUUCUAUUUAACAAACAUGUUGUAGAAAUAACGCCUAGAGAUUCUUCCCCGACCCUCUGCGGGAAAGCAAUCUCAGAGCCACAUAUCUAUUACAUGCCUCAGUAUUCAGUAUCUAGUUCUAGUUGUGUCGAUCAGGAUACAACUCCGAGCGUCCGUUACCAUGGACCCGGCUUUUCGAAUAGAUAAUACUUCCCUGCAGGGGUGCACCAACUUACCCAACACGCUCGAUCAACUCCGGCCGGACACACUAUCAGGUCAUGACCGCCCUUGGCCGAUCAACACACCGCAGUCUUACCUAGGCUCAUCAGAGAGGCCGGCAUGCCGGUCUACAUCCUAAGCGUGCAGGGGUCUUGGGCCCAUCGCCCUUUGCACUCCUGCAUGUUGCGUACGCGACCGGUUAGCAGACCUAGCUACCUCCUUAAAAAGGCAGGUGCUUACACAGUCCAACCCGGCGUACGCAGCUCCAUCGCUGACGCCCGUUGAGCUUUUGGCUGGUACAUACAACGUAGAGUGCCCAUACUUAUUCCCGCAUGGUGGUUAGUGCGAAAAAGGCCAGAGGCCUACUCGGAUCAAAUAUCCAAACCGUUAGUGUCUUGGUAGUGCGGUAACGAUCAAUGAUCCACGAUAUGUGGUCCCGUCGCCCCAUCUCACGGACGUGCGGCAAGGGCUAAGAAUGCCCGACCAUGCCGCGUGGAAAGAUUGCGGGUAUCCUCCAGUUCAACCCAACUUCACAUCACUCGCGGGUGCCCCUCGGGGCCGAUCCGAUGUCAUCAUGGUUCUAUGGUAAGUCAAAGUAACCGUGUGUCCGAAAUAGCAAGGGGGAAACCUGAGGAAUCACCCUCAAUGGAUUCCCACUCGAUGUAACGUCAAGGUGGACUUAGAGGAAUCACCCUCGAUGGUCCACACUUGAGGGGUUGCACGACAGAGUCGUUAUCGGGAGUGGUGAAGGAGCAAUCACCCUCGAUGACCACGACCGAAUAGUUACACUACAUGGUUAAUAUCAGAAGGGCUGACGAGGUAUCACCCUCGGCACUCGAUAGUAACUCUGCAGAGUUGUACNNNNNNNNNNNNNNNNNNNNNNNNNNNNNNNNNNNNNNNNNNNNNNNNNNNNNNNNNNNNNNNNNNNNNNNNNNNNNNNNNNNNNNNNNNNNNNNNNNNNNNNNNNNNNNNNNNNNNNNNNNNNNNNNNNNNNNNNNNNNNNNNNNNNNNNNNNNNNNNNNNNNNNNNNNNNNNNNNNNNAUUGUGUACAAGGUAGGUUACAGUUGGACUUGUAGUUGCAUUGUGUUCACAUAGGAUAUGGAGUCGUGUCCUAAUAGGACACUUGUAUCCUAGGCCUCUCAUAUAUAGCGGGGGUAGACACACGAUGUAACCUAUGCCAACAUAAUAGCACCGGAACGCAGGGGAAGCCGGCGGCAUGUGCCGGCGUCCAGGGUGACGGGGUGCGGUAUUGUAGCGGUGUCAUGGGGAGGAGCGCCCAUAGUCAGGCCCCAGGGAUGUAGCCAUAUCGGUGAACCUCGUUAACAAAUCUCGGUGUCGUGCUCGUGUGAUUACUUGGCCCUCGGAUGAUCAACGGUAUACCUCGGAUUUAUUCUAACAGGGGUUGAUGUACCACUAACCUAAAAUAUAGAAUUUGACUUGUCUGAGCAAUAUUACUCGGAUUGGAGAAUGGACCAUAUUUAUUUAUAUGGUCAUCGCGCACAAACAUAUUUUCUAGUGCUUAUGUUCAGAGACAUAUUUAAUGGGUAGUACUAAAAGAAGAAUCUCCAGGCGUGGUGCAAGCGUGCUAUGCUCUGAUCUGUAUGAAUGCAACU